CCAUAUAUUUGGUAUUCAAUUUUUGGUAUGGACCAUGCAUUUGCUAUUCAAAUGGUGGUGUAAACCAUGUAUUUGCUAUUCAAAUGGUGGUGUAGAUCCGGUAUUUGAUAAUCAUCUGUGUGCUUUGCCAGAUUUCUUACCCAAGAGUCACAAUUCUCAAAGGUUAAAAGGUUUUGUAACAGUAAGUUAACAGUAAUGUGAGUUUGAAUGAGGAUGCUGCAUUAAAUAGUGUCUGAUGAAAAAUAUUUAUAAAAUAUUAAAAACAAUUUUAAAUUAUCUUUUUACUUGUGUUAUAAUGUCCAUAAGCCAUUUUUGACUUCUUAGUUUGAGAAAAUUAGUGUAUUACACUUGUUUAUAAAAGUAAGCAAUAGAAUUUAUAAUUAGUAAGAUUGUACACUUAGCACUAGCAUCUGAGCCACUUUGAAUGGUGCCUGUGUUUGAACUGUUUUUACCUAUGACAGUGAAACAACUUUCUUCUUGAGCUUACUCAAUCCUAAACUGAUGUUAGAAUUUAAUUAGGUUAAUUCAGCAUAUGAAUUGUUUCUGACCUUAAAACUUAAAAAAAUAAAAAAAAUUGUAUUCUUAAGCAUACUUAUUCUUAAACUCAGUGAGGUUAGUUCAGAUAUAAAUUGUUUCUUACCUAAUAACUUACAAAAAAUUUCUUUUUUUUUAUUAUCUUAAUUGCCUUUUCUUGUGACUUGUAAACAAAGUUAAUAGGGUAUUGAUAGGUAGUUCAUAGUUAAUCUGAACAAUGCUUCACUGGGAAGCUGUUGCAACAGUGUACACACUCAAACAUAGAGUGUGUUUGUUUUUUUUAUUUGAUAUAUUACAAAACAAAAAGUAAUAAGGAGAAUUGAAACCUGAAUCAGGCCUAGUGGCAUCUUCCUUGGUUUAAGUCCGUUUGAGUGUACAAAUUCAUUUGUGAAUAUGAACGUGAAUUGUAAAUAUUUUAGAUACUGUUAUCAUUCUUUGUACAGGAUAUACUUGUAUGUAUGGAUCUAUUUCUGUAGCUUUGUGCAAGCGAGGAAAAUAUCAAGAUAUUUUUUACUCUAUUUUUUUUAAACCAUUUCUUUGAGAAUAUGUUCUUGAUGGUAGAUUUCAAGAUAAUUUGUUUUAUGAAUGUAUUUAGUUAUUAUAUUUUUUGCCAGAUGCUGGACAGAAUUAGAGAUCAAAUGUAAUGUUACCAAAUAUUUAUGGUCUGAAUGGCCAAGAGUAUACUAAUGAAGUAAACAAGAAAUGUAGAAGUUUUUUAAACAUUUUUGAAAAAGUAAAGAAUUUAGAGAUUUUACUGUGUUGCAUUUUUUGAAAAUGGUUAUGGAAAAUGGUUUAUACUUUUUUGAAUGAGAUAAGACAAGUAGUAAUUAAGGUUUUAUUUCCACUAAAAAGUGAUGAGAUAUGGAGUUAAGUCAUCUUUUCUCUCUUUCAAUUUUGAAAGAUUAGAUCUUAGAUUAUUUUGACAGACUAAAUUUUCUAUUACUCAAGAAUAGUGUAAAAGGUAAAGAUCUUUAUUUUUAAAUAAUAGAUAAAAGUAACAAGAUAAAUUUAUAUCUAUGAGAAAUGUUGUUAAUGUCUGGAUAAUAGCACUUUAUUGGUAAGAAUCAUGUAAUGAUUCAGAGCUGUUUAUGUUAGGAUAGUGGCUUUGUGUUGAUAAGAACUAUACAAUGAUUGAGUUAGAUAACUGUCGAAGUUAGGUUUGUGUUAGUUUUUUUAUAAGAACCUUGUAAUGAUUAGAUAGAUAAUUAUCAGUGUUAGGUUUGUGAUUGUUUGAUAAGAACUGUGUAAUGAUUGAGAUAAGUAAUUGUUAAUGUUAGGUUUGAUAAGAACCAUGUAAUGACUGAGAUAGACAACUGUUGAUGUUAGGAUUGUGGUUGUUUGAUAAUAACCAUGUAAUGAUUGAGAUAAGUAAUUGGUUAUGUUAGGAUAAUGGCUGGUUGUAGUGAAAAGCUACGUAAUGAUUGAGAUAGGUAAUUGUUGAUGUUAGGAUAAUGGCUGGUUAUAGUGAAAGGCUACAUAAUGAUUGAGAUUGGUAAUUGUUGAUGUUAGGAUAAUGGCUGGUUGUCAAAGCCUACGUAAUGAUUGAGAUAGGUAAUUGUUGAUGUUAGGAUAGCGGCUGGUUGUUGUGAAUGGUUAUACAGUGAUUGAGGUAGGAGGAUUUUAAUGUUGGUGUGGUAUAUAGCAAUUGUAUGUUGAUAGGGACCAGUGGCAAUUGAGGCAGGAAAUUACUGAUGGCUUAGUAUCAUUAAAACAUUUCUUAAUAUAUUGAGUCACCUAUAAUAAACCCA
This is a long non-coding RNA of Limulus polyphemus (Atlantic horseshoe crab), 2282 nucleotides long. RefSeq lists it as uncharacterized. The transcript has 2 exons. Lineage: Eukaryota; Metazoa; Arthropoda; Merostomata; Xiphosura; Limulidae. The record is from RefSeq and is a predicted model, not a curated record.